This 435-nucleotide ribosomal RNA is filed under the name uncultured bacterium. Its description in RNAcentral is "partial 16S ribosomal RNA". It matches the Rfam family "Bacterial small subunit ribosomal RNA", at positions 29 to 507 of the family's 1533-position model. The record is from RNAcentral.
AGCGAACGCUGGCGGCAGGCUUAACACAUGCAAGUCGAACGGGCUUCUUCGGAAGUCAGUGGCAGACGGGUGAGUAACACGUGGGAACGUGCCCUUCGGUUCGGAAUAACUCAGGGAAACUUGAGCUAAUACCGGAUACGCCCUUUUGGGGAAAGGUUUACUGCCGAAGGAUCGGCCCGCGUCUGAUUAGCUUGUUGGUGGGGUAACGGCCUACCAAGGCGACGAUCAGCAGCUGGUCUGAGAGGAUGAUCAGCCACACUGGGACUGAGACACGGCCCAGACUCCUACGGGAGGCAGCAGUGGGGAAUAUUGGACAAUGGGCGCAAGCCUGAUCCAGCCAUGCCGCGUGAGUGAUGAAGGCCUUAGGGUUGUAAAGCUCUUUUGUCCGGGACGAUAAUGACGGUACCGGAAGAAUAAGCCCCGGCUAACUUCGUG